Molecule: ribosomal RNA, 483 nt
Filed under: uncultured bacterium
Lineage: Bacteria
Description: partial 16S ribosomal RNA
Rfam family: Bacterial small subunit ribosomal RNA
Source: RNAcentral
AUUGAACGCUGGCGGCAGGCCUAACACAUGCAAGUCGAGCGGAUGAAGGGAGCUUGCUCCUGGAUUCAGCGGCGGACGGGUGAGUAAUGCCUAGGAAUCUGCCUGGUAGUGGGGGAUAACGUCCGGAAACGGGCGCUAAUACCGCAUACGUCCUGAGGGAGAAAGUGGGGGAUCUUCGGACCUCACGCUAUCAGAUGAGCCUAGGUCGGAUUAGCUAGUUGUGGGGUAAAGGCCUACCAAGGCGACGAUCCGUAACUGGUCUGAGAGGAUGAUCAGUCACACUGGAACUGAGACACGGUCCAGACUCCUACGGGAGGCAGCAGUGGGGAAUAUUGGACAAUGGGCGAAAGCCUGAUCCAGCCAUGCCGCGUGUGUGAAGAAGGUCUUCGGAUUGUAAAGCACUUUAAGUUGGGAGGAGGGGCAGUAAGUUAAUACCUUGCUGUUUUGACGUUACCAACAGAAUAAGCACCGGCUAACUUCGUG